GCAUGUUGGGGUAGAGGGUGUCACACCCAUCACUUAAGAACUUCAUAGUUAAGCAAGCUUGCCUUGGAGUAGUUUUGGGAUGGGUGACCUUCUGGAAAGUUUUCUGGAAAGCAUGUG
Glycine soja is the source of this 117-nucleotide non-coding RNA. The record is from Rfam. Lineage: Eukaryota; Viridiplantae; Streptophyta; Magnoliopsida; Fabales; Fabaceae.